This 569-nucleotide ribosomal RNA is filed under the name uncultured fungus. RNAcentral describes it as "eukaryotic LSU rRNA". The stretch from base 208 to 361 matches the Rfam family "5.8S ribosomal RNA". Lineage: Eukaryota; Fungi. The record is from RNAcentral.
AAGUCGUAACAAGGUUUCCGUAGGUGAACCUGCGGAAGGAUCAUUAACAAAAGAUGGGGGUGAUGGGAUCGUGGGAGUGCGAGAGUGCUGUCACAAUCCUCGUCCCACCCAAGUUUGCCCCGAGCUGGGUCCGCCCGGCUCUGGUUAUAUGUGAAAGCAUAUAUAUGUACGCUUGAUCGUUUGACAUGUCACAAAACAUCAAAUUACAACUUUUAACAAUGGAUCUCUUGGCUCUUGCAACGAUGAAGAACGCAGUGAAAUGCGAAAAGUAAUGCGAUUUGCACGAACCUGUGAGUCAUCGAGUCUUUGAACGCACCUUGCACUGCAUGAGCGAUUGUGCAGUAUGCCUGUUUGAGAAGCAGCUUAAUAUAUCCAUUAGUGGGACUUGUCGGGUGAUACAGCUGUAUCUCUGAUUAAAGCGAGUAGGGAGGGCUGGGUGUGAAUCCUGGACAUUGUGUGUCGGGGCGCAAGCCAUGUCACAACUAAGGGCUGAAGCAUCAGUCUCAUCCCACCAAAACACCAUCUCAAUAUCAGCUCUCAAAUCAGGUAGGACUACCCGCUGAACUUAG